Long non-coding RNA from Mauremys reevesii (Reeves's turtle), 469 nucleotides. RefSeq lists it as uncharacterized. Lineage: Eukaryota; Metazoa; Chordata; Testudines; Geoemydidae. The record is from RefSeq and is a predicted model, not a curated record. The transcript is spliced from 4 exons.
CCUCCAUCUCGCGGUCUCUCGCUGAGGACCAAGAGACAGUUGCUGUAGAGGAGAUUCUGUGCGUGUGUUUUUCAUUUCUUUGUGGAUUUGUUUCAAAGAUAUUGUCAUCUGUGUAGAAGUGCUAAGCAGAUGCUACACUGUAAGAAGAGGCAACAGAAUCAAAAACUGAAAGAUUGUUACUAAAACCAAUGAAGAGCUGCAGAGAGUGGAGACCCGGCAAAGCAAACAAAUGAAUCCUGAAAAGGAUCCCCAAAGGAGGUGUAAGGAUCCGGGACUCCAGUGUCUGCCAGAAGCUUCAGCCACCUUCACAGAUUAGAGCUCACCGUCCAUUGCGGAGGUGAAGACCGGAUGAGAGCUGCUGGAUUGACCUUGAUGUGCCAUGUCCUUGUGUGGAUGAAGGACCUACAUCUCAGGGACGGCCAGCAGCAGAUGUAACACGUGUGUCCAGGAAUGGGCUAAAUAACCUACA